This 651-nucleotide long non-coding RNA is filed under the name Homo sapiens (human). RNAcentral describes it as "non-protein coding lnc-PPP1R3D-2:3". The record is from RNAcentral. Lineage: Eukaryota; Metazoa; Chordata; Mammalia; Primates; Hominidae.
AACUCCAUAAGGAAGGAAUCCUUAUUGUCCCCAUCUUAAAGACCUCCGAAACGAAACCAGAGAUACUGAAUGAUUUGCCUGGGAUGACUCCGCUACCACUUGGCACAGCCACGGUGCAAACCCAGUUGGGCUGGCACUGAACACCCAGACUGUAGAUCCCUCCUGCCUGACUCAAGAGCCUCUGUCUAUAUGGAAGCAAUCAACUUAAGGUCACAAGAGGCCCAUUUCAGAAUGGGUUCUGUCCCACACUCUGGAGGAAGGAAUGCUGUAUGAGGAGGCCUAGAAGAAUCUGAACAGACAGGCUUUACUGGAGUUCCCCACUCGGCCCGUUAGUAUUAGACCAGAUCUUUUUGUCCAGUCACAUUUCUACGUGGUUGCCUAUCAAAGAAGUCUCUAUAAAAAGUCCAAGAGAACAGGGUUUGGGGAGCUUCCAGGAGGCAGGAAGGUGAACAAGAAUUCAUCCACAUGCCAGACAGCUGGUGCAUCCCAAAUCCAUGGAGACAGAAGCUCCUGCACUCAGACCCUUCCAGACCUCACCCUACAUGUUUCUUCAUCUGGCUGUGUAUUUGUAUCCUUUGAAAUAUCCUUUGUAAUAAACUGUUAAACAUAAGUUCUGUGAGUCACUCUAGCAAAUUCACUAAGCCCAAGGAA